RNAcentral lists this long non-coding RNA (758 nucleotides) under Cricetulus griseus (Chinese hamster). Its description in RNAcentral is "lncRNA (ENSCGRG00015041173.1)". Lineage: Eukaryota; Metazoa; Chordata; Mammalia; Rodentia; Cricetidae. The record is from RNAcentral.
GGGACUUGGAGGGCGGCCAGCUUUCCGUUCCCAGGGUGCCUUCUGGCGGGGGCGAGGGUUGUCUGCAUCCCAGCUGGGCAGCUGGAGGAUACUGGACCCGCCUGGACUCCAGGGUCAGCCUUGCCACCCACUAGCUGCAUGCUCUGCAUCAGGGACCUGAAUAAUGCUGACAGCACAAAGUGCCCGGCCCUGCUGCAAAGUUCUCUGCAAGUUCCUACCUCCCAAUACCCCUUUGAAGUAGGUGCUGCUAACGUAAUAAGGAACAUGGUCUCCUCCAGUGACUGAUGGUGCAGGCUAGCCUUGAAGGACAGCUCUUCCUCCCUCCACACACUGCCAGCGCCAACUUUGUCUGACGAUCCUAGGUUGUGUCAAGUCAGCAAUUAAAACCAUCACACUCCUACCAGGCCUGGCGGUGCAUUCAUUUCAUCCCAGCACUCAGGAGGCAGAGACCAAGUUUCUUCAGCAGAAAAUGGAGGCUUGUAACAGAUGCACUGUGAGGCUGAGGCUGCACAGAAAACAGCUGAAGCACAGCCCUUCGAGAGUCCCGUGGAGAACUCGAGGAACAGGGGUGUCAAACCAAACACCAGAAGAAAAACUCUGUGAGACAUUCUGUGCCCAGUCUCCCUGAAUUCUGCAAACCCACUUUCUCCGCUAGAGUGAAGGUAACCGAGUCCUGGCCGUGAAAGCUGACUGGUAAUGCCUAGAGUUCGUCGCAAGGUGGCAACAUUGUGGCGAGAAAUAGAUAUUAAAAAUCCUGG